CUGCUUAAUUUGUAAAAUCAUAACCUAUUUUGAUGUUUAAUAGGCUUUUUCCUAAUCUUUCCUUAUUAUCCAACAUAUUCGCUUAUCCAAUGUUCUGCCGACCCGUUUAUGUUGGAUAAGUGAGACUCUACUGUAUGUGCAGUGAGCAUAGGAAUUUGUUCAUUUUUUUUUUCAAAUGAUAAUUCAGCCCCUCAACAAUCUGAGGGACCAUGAAUCGGCCCUCCACUUAAAAUGUUUGAGGACCCCUGCUCUAAUCCAACCUGUACCUUUAAAAACCUGUAAAUAAAGUGCAGGUUCCAUCUCUCAAAACCACUUUUGGGUCUGCCUUCUGUAUGCCUGCUGCAAGGAAGCAGGUCAUGUUACCUUCAAAAAGAAGCAAGCAGGUGUGUAAGGGGGAGUGAGGGAAUGACUGAAAACAAUCUGUCAUUUUUCUUCAGGAUUCCCAAGUAGCUUGCAACCCUCCCCUCUUUCUCUUUUGCCUCAGUUUAGAUUCUUGGCUUUACAAUCCUGUCUAUGCCUGCAUUGGAUAGCUUCUGCCACUAGAAUGCACUCUUAUCUAUGAGAAGUCUUUGAGCCUGCAGCUAAAAAUGUUUAACCCCUUUCUAGCAGACUGGCAUUGCUUGAAUGCUUUUUCAUUUGGCUUCUUAAUAAUCACCUUAUAUUUCCUCCUUUUGCAUAGAUAGAUGGAUGUGAUGAUUGGAGCCCAUGGAGAUUUCUUUUCUUGGAACGAAAAUGUCCAAGAGCUGUCAAUUUGCACGUUUUUAGAAUAUACAACUAUCCAGUUGCAUAUGCAGUACUAUUCACAUUAAUGAUACAUAUGAUGAUCAAGUUGUAAGCCUUUCACCCAGAAAUGGAGGACCUGUGGUAUAAAGAUUAUGUUCUUUUGCAUUCAUUCAUCUCCAUUUAAUGACACCGCAUGGCAGGGGACUUGACUGGAUGGCACUUAUGGCCUCUUCCAACUCUGUGAUUCUAUGAUUUUAUGAAACCACUAAGAAAGGUCAACCAGGUUUUGAGGUAAGAUGUCGUAAGUAUAUUGAUGACACUCAGUUCUGUUUCUGUAAAACUAAAGUGAUGGCUUAUAAAUGAAAAAUGAUCAAUGAGGUAGUUCACUCUAGAAUCUGUGCUUAGUCUAUCCUUUAAAGUGGGGGAGGAUUGUGGAGGAAAUGAAUCAUUUUCCACCUCAUACUCCAUCUCCCUCCAGAAAGUUGUACUAGUAUACCUGUUCCAUUUUCAAUUGAUUUUCAGCCAUUUUUGCUGUUUGGGAGUAUGUGCAGGAGAUAUUAAUGGGCCUAAGGGGGUAACAGAUACAUUUUGCAUUGGUUUUAACCAAUUUUGAGCAUUUUGGAAGUGAAGAAAGGCUCAAACUUUUAGAAAAUAUUUUGGGAGUGGUGGAUUUGGGAGGCUGCAGGAAUUGAACUUUUCCCACUUCUGCUCUAAGAAUUAGGAGUAGGGACAGAACAUGACUCUGCAAAUGUUGUUGGGCUACAUAUCCCAUGUAAUGAAAGAAAUUAAAAGCACAAUAAUGAGCCAGUCUGGUAUACUGCUUUGAGCAUUGGACUGGAGAGGGUCUGAGUCAGCCACAAAGAAGACUAGAUGACCUUGAGCAAGUCACACACUUUCAGCAAUGCCAAACCUCCACUAAAUAAGUCUUGCCAAGAAAACCCUAAGGGGAAGGUUGCUUUAGCAGCACAGUAUGACUGAGAUGACUUGCAGACGAGCGACUAAAGCAACAAAUAAUCACCAUAAUCUCUAACCAGUGUGUAUGCUGGCUGGGACUGAUGGGAGAUGAGAGACCAACAUCAUCUGGAGAGCUCUGGAGAGUUCUUUCAUCAUUAUGGUGAUCAUUAUUUCCUCGCAAAUUUUGUAAAAUGGCAUUUAUAACCUUUCGGAAAAUCUCCUUUUGGAGAUCAUAACUUUUAGAAAAGCAUGACCUUUCUUUCAGAGAAGAGUCAAAACCCUUGUAUAAUCUUCUCUUGUGGUAUACAGAUAUCAUUACGCAAGGCAAUGGUUUCGGGUGUUAAGACUGAAUAACCUGUUAUCUCUGAUCGGUUAGGAAAACAGAAUUUGCAAGUGCAUAAAAACAGCAGUAUUUUAUAAAUGUUUUUCAGUGCCAUACACACACAAACACACACACCCGUAAAACAACUUGUUUUAUAUCAUGCACUCAAGAUACAAAAAUGAAGUAGACUUUGAUAAAAAUAACGUUUUGUUUACUCACAACCUUCAUGUGUUCAGCAUACACAGGUACAAAACUUAUCAGUCCAGUUUCAGAUAUGUUUGAGACAAUUCUCUGUGCCAUCUGGCCAGGACACCUCUUAUAGCAAAACCACAAGCAAAUGUGUGAUCUGAAGUCUGAAGUAGUAUAUAGUCUGUCUCCAAUCUGCAGUGAUCAUGUGGUCUACAGCCCCUUUUAUAACUUCCCAGGAACCAUAGAGUAAAGGAAGUUGCAUACUGGAACAUACAUAUAAACAGGAAGCAACAGGAUCAUAGAUAAACAGAUUACUAGAGAAGGCUUGAAGAAGGUUGUCCUUUCCAACAGCAGAAGCCUAUGUAUUGCUGAUGCAGCAACAAAAUGACACACAGCACAAGUGAAACAUGAAUAAUGUAUAACACAUACCUACAUUUUAGAAUCGAAUUGGCUGCUUGUAGAAGCUAAUGGUUCUUCCUGGAUUUGACACAGUGAAGCCUUCCUGAUGGUGGUGAGCUCAAUUCUUAUUUUCCUCAGCCAGCAUUGCUAAUAGUGAGGAGUACUGGAAGUUGCAGUCCAACAGUUUCUGCAUCCAUCUCUGCAGAUGUUCAAGUGAGAUUCAUGAUAAUGUUUCAUCGAUUUCUCUGCCUCAUCCAUGAAUAUAUAAUUUCUAGACAGAAUGUCUUAAUCUUUUCCAGAUGUGAUGUCUGAGAAUGAUAGUUUUGCCCUAACACAAAUUGGGGAAAGCUGGACUCUUGCAAUAGACUUUGAAGGAGACAGCAAACAAAUAGCUUAAACUGCAAACCAAUACACUUUUAUGUUGGUGUAGGUCCAUUGAACAAAUUCAAACCUACUUCUGAUGUCCUUACUAGAAGAUGGUAUUGCCCACAAGGUCUUAGAAUCAUAGAGUUGGAAGGGAUCUCAAUGGCCAUAUAGUCUAGCCCCAGCCAAUGCGGGAAUACAAAGCUAAAGAAUUGAGAGGUGGGUAUUCAAAUUCUGUAAGCCAUCCAAUAAAUGAGAAUCCAUCACACUCUGAAGCCAGCUAUUUUACUGCUGAAUGCACUUAUUAACAGAUACCAUAAUUUGUCCUAUGGUUUAGAAUCUGUUUUCAUGUAAUUUGAAUCAAAUGUUUUGUGUCCUAGAAUGCAUCUACACCAGUGGUUCUCAACUUUUCUAAUGCCGUGGCCCGUUAAUGUAGUUCCUCAUGUUGUGGGUGACCCCCAACCAUAACAUUAUUUUCGUUGCUACUUCAUAACUGUAAUUCAGCUACUGUUAUGAAUUGUAAUGUAACUAUCUGAUAUGCAGGAUGUAUUUUCAUUCACUGUACCAAAUUUGACAAAUACACGAUAUGCCCAAAUUUGAAUACUGGCGGGGCUGAGGGGGGAUUGAUUUUGUCAUUUGUAAGUUGUAGUUCACCUACAAUCAAAGAGCAUUCUGAACUCCACCAAUGAUGGAAUUGAACCAAACUUGGGACACAGAACUCCUUUGACCAACAGAAAAUACUGGAAGGGUUUGGUGGGCAUUGACCUUGAGUUUUAGAGUUGUAGUUCACCUGUGGACUCAAACAAUGAUGGAUCUGGGCCAAACUUGGCACAAAUACUCAAUAUGCUCAAAUGUGAACACUGGUAGAGUUUGGGGAAAAUAGACCUUGACAUUUGGGAGUUGUAGUUGUUAGGAUUUAUAGUUCACCUACAAUCAAAGAGCCCCGUGAAUCCGACAAUGAUAGAAUUGGGCAAAUUGGGAUUUUGGUGGGAGGAUUCACUGUUUCCAAAAAGGACAGGCAAGGAGAUAUUCAGCCUUAUCUGCCAAAGGGUUUCCUAAGACCAUCAGAAAUAUGUGUUUUCUGAUGGUCUUUGGCAACUACUCUGACACCUCCUCGCAACCCCCCCCCCAGGGUCCCGACCCCCAGGUUGAGAAAUGCUGAGCUACACCAUAGUAUUCAUGCAGCUUGACAACAGUUUAGCUGUUAUAACUCCGUUAUGGAAUCAUGCUGUGAGGGACAUGUGCAUGUUCUUCUGUUCCAUUGGGAUACAUGUUUUCACUCCUUUCCUACCAGCAACCUUCAGUGUAACAUCAGAAGGAGGUUGCUUGUCACAGUUCCUUCUAUGGAAACAUCAGUCUGCUGUGUUUCAAUUGAUAGAACAGACCUCCUUUGCUUGCAAUAGCUGAUGCCUGAUAAGCAGGAAUGGGACGGGGACUAUUAUGAUCCGUAUGUAAUUUCUACACUAUUCAAUAUGUAGGCUAUGUGAAUACAAAUCAGUUGCAAAUGCAAAAGUCUAGGUUACACUUUUGUAAUUGCAACUGUGAAUUCCAGCCCAUAUCUAUAAUCCUGUUUCUUUUUUCUGCUAGUCCUGCCCUGCUUUUGCUUCUGACCAACAGAUUUGACUAGGAAAAUUGCUUUGCUGUUUGGUUAAGCCUUCUCUCUACACACACCCUGUUUCAGAGCUGCUUGGUUUAAGAAAACACUCCACACAUUAACUACCUUUAGGCAAUUAACAUCAUGUUCUUUUUGAAAGAUAUCCUCCAUUUUUUUUCAAGGCCAGGAGCUAUUUUUCAACAUUUUAUUACGCUAAAUUUGAGAUAAUGUGCAUAAUUACAUUUUAUGUCAGCAAUCAAAAUAGUCAUAUUAUCUCAAGGAGAGGGAUGAGCAGCUCCUUUGUAUCGUUUGGGUUGCAAUGUCCCUAAACCCCAGCCAACCCUCAUGAUUGAGAUUCUAUUUAUGGUUGCUAUCCUCUAUAAAUGUUUUCCUCUUUUGACAUAUCUAAUCAUGCUCCCAGGAGCCUGCAUUGCCUUAUUGCCCACUUUGUGAAGAUUCUGUGUGUCUUGCCUUGUUCUGGGCUGAUUCUUUAGCAAUGCAGUAAGUAACCAGUUUGAUCUAUGGGAACAUCAUUCCACAUUGGGAACUAUUUAUGUGAAUGGUAUCUAUCUGUAUCAUGAGGUGAGGACGUGUUGAUUUUAACCAGGCCAAAAAAUAGCACUGACAAUGAUGUUAAACUUGACACUACCAAAUGGAAGCAAAAGAAAAGAACAUCAAACAGUGCUCUGGCGUUAAACUAAUGUAUGAACCAGGCUUUUGCUUCUGCUCCUGUUUUUUAUUAUUGAUUCUGUUUUGGACUUCAUUUUAGAGGUUUUCCGUUUAAUUCUGUUGAGCCUUUUUUCACAUCAUGUAUUUCUCUGAGUAUCUGAUGAAAGCAAACAUUGUUUUAAUAUGUUUUCAAGUUAUUUCUGACUUCUGGAGACCCCAACAUAAAUGUGUCAUGACAAGAUUUGGACAGAAAUGGGAGAGGAGGUUGACUUUGUUUUCCACAGAGGCACAAAGAAUCAUGAUGGUCAAACAGGGAUUCAAACCCCGGUCUUCUGGAGGCCUUGUUAACACUCAAACUACUACACCAUGCUGACUCUGAAACCUAGAAUCCUCUCUGAAAAUAAUGCAGCCAAACACAUACCAAAUUUUUCAUUUAAUUUAUAUUAUUAUGUCAGAAAUUGGUUUUUUCCAUGUAAACCAAUAACAACAACAACAAUUGUGCAGUUUUCUGGCACUGUAUAUUUCUGCUACUUCUGUGACUUUUUAUUUGUAUUUUGAUACUGUAGCCCACUUGUCAAUUGAUGUCCAGAAUCAGCAGCAUCCACUGUGGUCCUUUUUAUCCUGGGCGACGACUGAGCCAGUAUAGACUUCAUUUUGAUUUGUUUCUCCAAGCCAAAGACCUGGUUAUGGCUCACUAAUGGAACACUAGAGAAGGAAACAGAAGGCAUGAUUCUUGCAACUCAGGAGCAAGCAAUCAGAACAAAUGCAAUUAAGGCCAGGAUUGAAAAAUCAGCUGAUGACCCAAAAUGCAGACUGUGCAAGGAAGCUGAUCAUAUCCUCAGCUGCUGCAAGAAAAUCGCACAGACGGACUACAGGGGCAUAACUAUGUGGCCCAAAUGAUUCAUUGGAACUUAUGUCACAAGUACCACUUGCCAGUAGUAAAGAACUGGUGGGAUCACAAACCUUCAAAUGUAGUGGAAAAUGAGCAUGCAGAAAUACUGUGGGACUUUCGAAUCCAGACUGACAAAUAAUAAAACUUUAAUAAUAAUAAAACUUUACUUGUAUUUCACCCUAUCUCCCCAAGGGGACUCAGGGCAGAUUCCAACAUACAAUGGCAAACAUUCAAUACCAUUGAAAGUUUUGGAACACAAUAUACCAGACCUCAUGGUUGUGGAAAAGAAAAAAGUUUGGAUUAUUGAUGUCGCCAUACCAGGUGACAGUUGAAUUGAUGAAAAACAAGAGGAAAAAACUCAACUGUUAUUCAGGCCCUCAAAAUCGAACUGCAAAGGCUCUGGCAUAAACCAGUACAGGUGAUCCUGGUGGUAAUCAGCACACUGGGGGCUGUGCCAAAAGAUUUCAGCUGACAUUUGAAAACAAUAUACAUUGACAAAAUCACGAUCUGUCAACGGCAUCUGCGUGCAUCAUUUGAAAAUACAUCACACUGUCCUAACGCUUGGGAAGUGUUCGACUUGUGAUUUUGUGAUAUGAAAUCCAGCAUAUUCAUCUCGUUUGCUGUGUCAUACUGUUUUUUUGUGUCAGAAUAAUAAUAAUAAUAUAGCUAAGCUGUGCACUUGUAAAAUAUAGAAUGGAAAAUUAAAAGUAACAAGAUGGAAAUCAAAGACAAAAAAUCAGUUUGGCAUCCAGUUCAGAGACUGAAUGAAGCAAAUGCAUGGACCCCAUGUUAAGAAUCCCACCAUAUUAGAAGUCUCUGGAUUUUUGCUUAAAACACAGGGAUACAACUUAUAUAGGUCAGAAAUCCAUGUGUAAUAGUGUGCUCAACACCCCUCCCCCUGC
Molecule: long non-coding RNA, 7007 nt
Organism: Anolis carolinensis (green anole)
Lineage: Eukaryota; Metazoa; Chordata; Lepidosauria; Squamata; Anolidae
Exons: 3
Source: RefSeq, a predicted model, not a curated record